AUUGAGCGCUGGCGGUAUGCUUAACACAUGCAAGUCGAACGGUAACAGGCCUUCGGGCGCUGACGAGUGGCGGACGGGUGAGUAACGCGUAGGAAUCUGCCUCAUAGUGGGGGACAACGUGGGGAAACUCACGCUAAUACCGCAUACGCCCUACGGGGAAAGCGGGGGAUCUUCGGACCUCGCGCUAUGAGAUGAGCCUGCGUUAGAUUAGCUAGUUGGUAGGGUAAAGGCCCUACCAAGGCGACGAUCUAUAGCUGGUCUGAGAGGACGAUCAGCCACACUGGGACUGAGACACGGCCCAGACUCCUACGGGAGGCAGCAGUGGGGAAUAUUGGACAAUGGGCGCAAGCCUGAUCCAGCAAUACCGCGUGUGUGAAGAAGGCCUUAGGGUUGUAAAGCACUUUCAAAUUGGGAGGGAAAAACCUGCCGGUCAAUACCCGGUAGCUUGACAUUACCUUUAGAAGAAGCACCGGCUAACUCCGUGCCAGCAG
This 491-nucleotide ribosomal RNA is filed under the name uncultured bacterium. RNAcentral describes it as "bacterial SSU rRNA". It matches the Rfam family "Bacterial small subunit ribosomal RNA", at positions 30 to 514 of the family's 1533-position model. The record is from RNAcentral.